GAUGAACGCUGGCGGCGUGCCUAAUACAUGCAAGUCGAGCGAACAGACGAGGAGCUUGCUCCUCUGACGUUAGCGGCGGACGGGUGAGUAACACGUGGAUAACCUACCUAUAAGACUGGGAUAACUUCGGGAAACCGGAGCUAAUACCGGAUAAUAUAUUGAACCGCAUGGUUCAAUAGUGAAAGACGGGUUUGCUGUCACUUAUAGAUGGAUCCGCGCCGCAUUAGCUAGUGGGUAAGGUAACGGCUUACCAAGGCAACGAUGCGUAGCCGACCUGAGAGGGUGGUCGGCCACACUGGAACUGAGACACGGUCCAGACUCCUACGGGAGGCAGCAGUAGGGAAUCUUCCGCAAUGGGCGAAAGCCUGACGGAGCCACGCCGCGUGAGUGAUGAAGGUCUUCGGAUCGUAAAACUCUGUUAUUAGGGAAGAACAAAUGUGUAAGUAACUAUGCACGUCUUGACGGUACCUAAUCAGAAAGCCACGGCUAACUACGUG
Molecule: ribosomal RNA, 497 nt
Filed under: uncultured bacterium
Lineage: Bacteria
Description: partial 16S ribosomal RNA
Rfam family: Bacterial small subunit ribosomal RNA
Source: RNAcentral